Molecule: long non-coding RNA, 254 nt
Organism: Nematolebias whitei (Rio pearlfish)
Lineage: Eukaryota; Metazoa; Chordata; Actinopteri; Cyprinodontiformes; Rivulidae
Exons: 3
Source: RefSeq, a predicted model, not a curated record
CUGUUCAGAAGGAAACUUGAGAACUUGUCCGUCUCUGAUUAUUAUGGCCUGAAGAGUCCGGGUCUGACGUGCUAUCUGAACAGUGUGCUGCAGGUUCUGUUCAUGACUGAAGACUUUAGAGAGGCCGUGAAAAGAUCUUCAAAGGAGAGCUGAAUCAUAAAACCAUGUGCCGUGAGUGCAGCAAGACAAACAAUUUCAAGAGCUUCUUCUGGGUUCUUCCUCUUUCAAUGGACAAUUCAAGCCGUGAAAACUAC